UACGUAGGGGGCUAGCGUUGUCCGGAAUCAUUGGGCGUAAAGCGCGUGUAGGCGGUCCGGUAAGUCCGCUGUGAAAGUCGGGGGCUCAACCCUCGGAUGCCGGUGGAUACUGUCGGGCUUGAGUACGGAAGAGGCGAGUGGAAUUCCUGGUGUAGCGGUGAAAUGCGCAGAUAUCAGGAGGAACACCAAUGGCGAAGGCAGCUCGCUGGGACGGUCCUGACGCUGAGACGCGAAGGCGUGGGGAGCGAACGGG
Molecule: ribosomal RNA, 253 nt
Filed under: uncultured bacterium
Lineage: Bacteria
Description: partial 16S ribosomal RNA
Rfam family: Bacterial small subunit ribosomal RNA
Source: RNAcentral